RNAcentral lists this ribosomal RNA (253 nucleotides) under uncultured bacterium. Its description in RNAcentral is "partial 16S ribosomal RNA". It matches the Rfam family "Bacterial small subunit ribosomal RNA", at positions 524 to 776 of the family's 1533-position model. The record is from RNAcentral.
GACGUAGGAGGCGAGCGUUGUCCGGAUUCAUUGGGCGUAAAGAGCACGCAGGCGGUUUGGCAAGUCGGAUGUGAAAACCCGAAGCUCAACUUCGGGCCUGCAUCCGAAACUGCCCGACUAGAGGUAGGUAGGGGAGAUCGGAAUUCCUGGUGUAGCGGUGAAAUGCGCAGAUAUCAGGAAGAACACCAGUGGCGAAGGCGGUGCUCUGGGCCGGAACUGACGCUGAGGCGCGAAAGCUAGGGGAGCAAACAGG